GUGCCAGCAGCCGCGGUAAUACGUAGGUGGCAAGCGUUGUCCGGAAUUACUGGGCGUAAAGCGCGCGCAGGCGGCCAUUUAAGUCUGGGGUGAAAGCCCGGAGCUCAACUCCGGGAUUGCCUUGGAUACUGGGUGGCUUGAGCAUCGGAGAGGCAAGGGGAAUUCCACGUGUAGCGGUGAAAUGCGUAGAGAUGUGGAGGAACACCUGUGGCGAAGGCGCCUUGCUGGCCGAUUGCUGACGCUGAGGCGCGAAAGCGUGGGGAGCAAACAGGAUUAGAUACCCUGGUAGUCC
RNAcentral lists this ribosomal RNA (292 nucleotides) under uncultured bacterium. RNAcentral's name for it is "partial 16S ribosomal RNA". It matches the Rfam family "Bacterial small subunit ribosomal RNA", at positions 505 to 796 of the family's 1533-position model. The record is from RNAcentral.